CCUGUGGAUAUAGUUCACUUGGUAGAAUUCUGGCUUAGUAUGCAUGUAGCUCUGGGUUUGAUUCCCAGCACAGCA
RNAcentral lists this transfer RNA (75 nucleotides) under Mus musculus (house mouse). Its description in RNAcentral is "tRNA-Thr". The record is from RNAcentral. Lineage: Eukaryota; Metazoa; Chordata; Mammalia; Rodentia; Muridae.